Molecule: ribosomal RNA, 261 nt
Filed under: uncultured archaeon
Lineage: Archaea
Description: partial 16S ribosomal RNA
Rfam family: Archaeal small subunit ribosomal RNA
Source: RNAcentral
UAGCCGUAAACGAUACUCGCUAGGUGUCGGCCACGGUGCGACCGUUGUCGGUGCCGUAGGGAAGCCGUGAAGCGAGCCACCUGGGAAGUACAGCCGCAAGGCUGAAACUUAAAGGAAUUGGCGGGGGAGCACCACAACGGGUGGAGCUUGCGGUUUAAUUGGAUUCAACGCCGGAAAUCUUACCGGGACCGACAGCAACAUGAAGGCCAGGCUGAAGACUUUGCCGGAUUAGCUGAGAGGAGGUGCAUGGCGUAGUCGUGU